Molecule: ribosomal RNA, 538 nt
Filed under: uncultured bacterium
Lineage: Bacteria
Description: bacterial SSU rRNA
Rfam family: Bacterial small subunit ribosomal RNA
Source: RNAcentral
UGAGGAAUAUUGGUCAAUGGACGGAAGUCUGAACCAGCCAAGUAGCGUGCAGGAUGACGGCCCUAUGGGUUGUAAACUGCUUUUGUAUGGGGAUAAAGUUAGGGACGUGUCCCUAUUUGCAGGUACCAUACGAAUAAGGACCGGCUAAUUCCGUGCCAGCAGCCGCGGUAAUACGGAAGGUCCAGGCGUUAUCCGGAUUUAUUGGGUUUAAAGGGAGCGUAGGCUGGAGAUUAAGUGUGUUGUGAAAUGUAGACGCUCAACGUCUGAAUUGCAGCGCAUACUGGUUUCCUUGAGUACGCACAACGUUGGCGGAAUUCGUCGUGUAGCGGUGAAAUGCUUAGAUAUGACGAAGAACUCCGAUUGCGAAGGCAGCUGACGGGAGCGCAACUGACGCUUAAGCUCGAAGGUGCGGGUAUCAAACAGGAUUAGAUACCCUGGUAGUCCGCACAGUAAACGAUGGAUGCCCGCUGUUGGUACCUGGUAUCAGCGGCUAAGCGAAAGCAUUAAGCAUCCCACCUGGGGAGUACGCCGGNNCGGU